AGUAGAAUUGCUGAGCCAUAUUAUAAUUCUAUGUUUAAUUUUUGGAAAAACUGUCAAACUGUUUUCCAAAGUGGCUAUACCACUUUAUAUUCCUACCAACAGU
Molecule: microRNA precursor, 103 nt
Filed under: Marmota monax (woodchuck)
Lineage: Eukaryota; Metazoa; Chordata; Mammalia; Rodentia; Sciuridae
Source: RNAcentral